GCGGCCAUAGAACCUUGAAAGCACCGCAUCCCGUCCGAUCUGCGAAGUUAAGCAAGGUAUCGCCUAGAGUUGAGAAUUUUUGGUGCUAAGUUU
Ustilago sp. UG-2017b is the source of this 93-nucleotide non-coding RNA. The record is from the annotation of a GenBank genome assembly. Lineage: Eukaryota; Fungi; Basidiomycota; Ustilaginomycetes; Ustilaginales; Ustilaginaceae.